AGCAGCCGCGGUAAUUCCAGCUCCAAUAGCGUAUAUUAAAGUUGUUGCAGUUAAAAAGCUCGUAGUUGAAUUUCGGGAUCAAUAUAACGGUCGUGCCGUUGGUAUGCACUGUUAUAAUUGAUUUCUCACCUUCUAAAGAACCGUAAUGCCAUUAAUUUGGUGUCACGGGGAAUUAGGACUGUUACCUUGAAAAAAUUAGAGUGUUUAAAGCAGGCUCACGCUUGAAUACAUUAGCAUGGAAUAAUGAAAUAGGACAUCCGAUUCUAUUUUGUUGGUUUCUAGGAUCGAUGUAAUGAUUAAUAGGGAUAGUUGGGGGCAUUAGUAUUCAAUUGUCAGAGGUGAAAUUCUUGGAUUUAUUGAAGACUAACUACUGCGAAAGCAUUUGCCAAGGAUGUUUUCAUUAAUCAAGAACGAAAGUUAGGGGAUCGAAGACGAUCAGAUACCGUCGUAGUCUUAACCAUAAACUAUGCCGACUAGGGAUCGGAUGAUGUUAAUUCUUUAAUGACUCA
This 509-nucleotide ribosomal RNA is filed under the name uncultured Glomeromycotina. RNAcentral's name for it is "SSU rRNA". It matches the Rfam family "Eukaryotic small subunit ribosomal RNA", at positions 569 to 1078 of the family's 1831-position model. Lineage: Eukaryota; Fungi; Glomeromycota. The record is from RNAcentral.